GAUGAAGAACGCAGCGAAAUGCGAUACGUAAUGUGAAUUGCAGAAUUCAGUGAAUCAUCGAAUCUUUGAACGCAUAUUGCGCUCUCUGGUAUUCCGGAGAGCAUGCUUGUUUGAGUAUCAGUAAACACCUCAACUUCCAUAUCUUUUUUGAAAUGGGAGUUGGACUUGAGUGAUCCCAACGCUUUUCCUCACCGAAAAGUGGCGGGUUACUUGAAAUGCAGGUGCAGCUGGACUUUUCUCUGAGCUAUAAGCAUAUCUAUUUAGUCUGCCUAAAAAACAGAUUAUUACCUUUGCUGCAGCUAACAUAAAGGAGAUUAGUUCUUGUGCUGACUGAUGCAGGAUUCACAAAGACGGCUUCGGCUGGCCUUUGUAAACUCGAUCUCAAAUCAAGUAAGACUACCCGCUGAACUUAAGCAUAUCAAUAAGCGGAGGA
Molecule: unclassified non-coding RNA, 433 nt
Filed under: soil metagenome
Description: partial contains 5.8S ribosomal RNA, internal transcribed spacer 2, and large subunit ribosomal RNA
Rfam family: 5.8S ribosomal RNA (bases 1-120)
Source: RNAcentral